AACCAUUCUCACCUGCGGCUAGACCUGCGGAAGGAUCAUUACUGAGUGAGGGCCUUCGGGCUCGACCUCCAACCCUUUGUGAACACAACUUGUUGCUUCGGGGGCGACCCUGCCGUUUCGACGGCGAGCGCCCCCGGAGGCCUUCAAACACUGCAUCUUUGCGUCGGAGUUUAAGUAAAUUAAACAAAACUUUCAACAACGGAUCU
This 206-nucleotide unclassified non-coding RNA is filed under the name soil metagenome. RNAcentral describes it as "partial contains 5.8S ribosomal RNA, internal transcribed spacer 2, and large subunit ribosomal RNA". The record is from RNAcentral.